This 465-nucleotide ribosomal RNA is filed under the name Vreelandella stevensii. RNAcentral's name for it is "partial 16S ribosomal RNA". It matches the Rfam family "Bacterial small subunit ribosomal RNA", at positions 338 to 795 of the family's 1533-position model. Lineage: Bacteria; Pseudomonadati; Pseudomonadota; Gammaproteobacteria; Oceanospirillales; Halomonadaceae. The record is from RNAcentral.
CCUACGGGGGGCUGCAGUGGGGAAUAUUGGACAAUGGGCGAAAGCCUGAUCCAGCCAUGCCGCGUGUGUGAAGAAGGCCUUCGGGUUGUAAAGCACUUUCAGUGGGGAAGAAAGCCUUGGGGCUAAUACCCUCGAGGAAGGACAUCACCCACAGAAGAAGCACCGGCUAACUCCGUGCCAGCAGCCGCGGUAAUACGGAGGGUGCGAGCGUUAAUCGGAAUUACUGGGCGUAAAGCGCGCGUAGGCGGUCUGAUAAGCCGGUUGUGAAAGCCCCGGGCUCAACCUGGGAACGGCAUCCGGAACUGUCAGGCUAGAGUGCAGGAGAGGAAGGUAGAAUUCCCGGUGUAGCGGUGAAAUGCGUAGAGAUCGGGAGGAAUACCAGUGGCGAAGGCGGCCUUCUGGACUGAAACUGACGCUGAGGUGCGAAAGCGUGGGUAGCAAACAGGAUUAGAUACCCUGGUAGUC